Molecule: ribosomal RNA, 388 nt
Filed under: uncultured Burkholderiales bacterium
Lineage: Bacteria; Pseudomonadati; Pseudomonadota; Betaproteobacteria; Burkholderiales
Description: bacterial SSU rRNA
Rfam family: Bacterial small subunit ribosomal RNA
Source: RNAcentral
CUCGGAGUUUGAUCCUGGCUCAGAUUGAACGCUGGCGGAAUGCUUUACACAUGCAAGUCGAACGGUAGAGGGGGCAACCCCUUGAGAGUGGCGAACGGGUGAGUAAUGUAUCGGAACGUGCCCAGUCGUGGGGGAUAAUGUAGUGAAAGUUACGCUAAUACCGCAUACGAUCUACGGAUGAAAGCGGGGGACUCGCAAGAGCCUCGCGCGAUUGGAGCGGCCGAUAUCAGAUUAGGUAGUUGGUGAGGUAAAGGCUCACCAAGCCAACGAUCUGUAGCUGGUCUGAGAGGACGACCAGCCACACUGGAACUGAGACACGGUCCAGACUCCUACGGGAGCAGCAGUGGGGAAUUUUGGACAAUGGACGCAAGUCUGAUCCCAGCCCAUU